RNA transcript from Dermacentor albipictus, 3814 nucleotides. It is a transcript of the gene named neural cell adhesion molecule 2-like, with no coding region annotated. The record is from RefSeq and is a predicted model, not a curated record. Lineage: Eukaryota; Metazoa; Arthropoda; Arachnida; Ixodida; Ixodidae.
GCCGCCGGCCGCGGGGGGAUCGCCUCAUCGCCGCUCUCCAGCGACGGCGCUUUCGCACGCCCUGCGCGCGAUGCUCUCACUUUGACGGCCUCUCGCGCGCCGCUUCGCCCCUCGCUCCUGCGACGACUGUCUGCGGUCGCUCGCCGUCCGCUUCUUCACUUCUCACCGCCGGUCGCACUGUGCCGUGGUGCGCGUUGGCCCGGACCUGCUCUCUCUCUCUCUCUCUCUCCUUCUCUCGUUCACUCCCGAGUCGCGUCUCCCCUUGUGCUUCUGUGCAUGCUUCUGCUCUUUUCGGCACUCGGGUUGUGAUCGAAACACUGACUGACUCGGGAGCUUCGGUCAUCUAGAGUAUCGGGCAGCGAGCCAAGUUGCUGGUGGCCACCACAGUGGAGGAAUGAGGAGGACACUGGCCACCACCGGUUCGGUGCCGGUGAUCGGCCGGACGCUGCGGAGGAUGCUCGUCUUCUGUGCGGUGUGCAUCUGGAUAUGUUCGGUUGUGGUGCACUGUAGGAUACAGCAGCGGCCGGCCAACAAGGAGCAGCCGUACGCUUCUAUAGUGUACACGGCCGUGGCUGGUGGAAAGGUCGCGCUGCCGUGUGACAUCAGCCCGCCGUCGCCAGACGACUCGGUGACGCUCGUGCUAUGGUACAAGGACGAAAGCCUGGCGCCCAUCUUCACGCUUGACUCACGGAGAGAUCACGUAGACCAGGCGCGACAGUCUCCAGCUCCAGGACUCGAACGGCGACUCUUCUUCGACAUGGGCCACUCACCGGCCCACUUGCGGAUAGACCCCGUGCGUGAAGGAGACGCUGGCGAGUAUCGUUGCCGAGUGGACUUCCGGAGAGCCCGCUCGGUGAACACCGUGAUCAACCUCAAGGUGAUCGUGCCCCCGGGUGAUCCGGUUGUAAUGGACGAAGACGGACGCAAGCUGGAAGGUCUCGUGGGGCGCUUCAGUGAAGGACAGAACCUCAGGCUCCUGUGUGAAGUGGAGGGAGGUAAGCCUCGUCCCGUUGUCACCUGGUGGCGCGAUAAGCGGCUGGUCGACUCGAACUUCAGCUUCGUGGGGGACGGCAGCGUGGCUCGCAACUGGCUGGAGGUCGGCGAGCUGAAGCGCUCGGACUUCCUCAGCGUGCUUACCUGCCAGGCAGCCAACAACAACGUCACGGUGGCCGUGUCACGGUCCAUAACCUUGGACAUGAACUUGAUCCCGCUCGACGUGGCCAUCCAGCCCCCGCGCCAUCCGUUGUCGGCGGGCCACCCGGUGGAGCUGGUGUGCUCGUCAAGCGGCUCGCGUCCUCCCGCGUUGCUUACCUGGUGGAAGGGGGACGAGCAGUUGCUGUCGGCUAAGGAACACCAGGGCGACAACAACCACGAGGGCACCAGCUCGAGCGUGCUCCUCUUCACGCCACGAAAAGCAGACAACGGAGCGGUGCUGUCGUGCAGGGCCGAGAACCAGUUCAUACAAGGCAGCGCCAUUGAGGAAGGAUGGAAGCUGGAUGUCUUCUACAAACCUUUGGUAUCAUUGCGGUUAGGCCAAAACCUUAGGGAAGACGACAUCCGCGAAGGCCGUGACGUGUACCUCGACUGUGACGUGGAUGCCAACCCGCCGGCCAACGAAGUCACGUGGCUCUUCGAGGGGCAGGAAGUCACUACAAACACCAGCGCGGGCGUCAUCGUGAGCAGCCAGUCGUUGGUGUUGCAGAAGGUGCACCGGUCGCGCCGCGGUCGGUACAAGUGCAUCGCCAUGAACCGUGAAGGCCACGGCACCAGCAACGUCUUCAUGUUACGCAUAAAAUACGCGCCGGUGUGCAAGCCAGACCAAAGGCACAUCUACGGAGUGUCACGUCAUGAGUCGGUUUCCGUGCGCUGCGAGUUGGAGGCAGAUCCGGCGGACGUGACAUUCCACUGGCGCUUCAACAGCUCCUCCAGUGGCAAGCGCCUGGAGCUAGCCAGCUACAGCCACGCGUUGACGCGCAGCACGGCCCUCUACUCCCCUCUAAAUGAGGAUGACUUCGGCUUGCUGCUUUGCUGGGGCGCUAACGAGAUCGGCAAGCAACAGACGCCCUGCAAUUUCACCAUCGUCCCCGCCGGCCCUCCAGAGCCGGUGAACAACUGCAGCCAGGUCAACGGCACCGAGGACUCGGUGUCGUUCGAGUGCUCCGAGGGUUUCUGGGAUGGUGGCGUGGCACCCGUCACGUUCGUGGCUGAACUGCGUGAGGCCGACACUGAUCGGCUGGUGGCCAACGCCUCGUCCAUGUCUGGACCGGCGUUCAGCUUCAGCGGCCUCGAAGGAGGCUCCACUUUCCGAGUGUUCCUCUUCUCAGCCAACCCUAAGGGACACCGGUCGCCCGUGCACUUCGUCGUCAGCACAUUGCGGCCCGCCGAGAAGCUUACCGCUGGAAGCCGUGGUAUGAUCACCGCCUGGCCCAUUAUCGGCGCGCUACUUGGCCUCAUUGUGACAUUGCUGAUCGCGGCACUAGUGAUCGUCGUCUAUGUCAAACACAAAUACCUGAAGAGGAAGCGAGACACGUACAGUGAACCUGGCGAUGAAAAAUCCAACACGCUUCUAAAGAAAGAUGCUGACGAGUUUGCGGAUGUUGAAGAGAAGGGACCCGACAUUAUACCAGACACGCCGCUCUGCCAAGUUACUUACAAAUCGUAUGGUUGCGAUCAAGACGAAAAAGUAGAGUACGCAAAGGAGCCUCUAACAAGCUACUACACUCUUCCUGCUUCGACAAGGAAGGCUGGCGCAACCGAGUUUUCAUGGAGAAACCACUGUACAAAUAACGAGGACCAGCCGUUGGAAGCAGUGGGUGCGGAACUGCCAUUUCCAGCCGCUGCACGCCGACUGGGUCACGUGGGUUCCACUUCGAGCUUGCCUCGGCCGCAGCGAUUCUACCUGGACCAGCUUUCCCCGGACGGCAGCGGCGCAACCCACGUUGAUUUUGUGCGCAGCGGCGUGCUGAGACCACUGGCAUCGGCGCACAGACUGCCGCGUCGCUCCCGCAGCAACUUGGAGGAGUUCGGGCCUGUGCUCUCCAACGACUCGCUCGAGAGCACAGUCUGAAAGGGAGGGCGGAGUGUCCGCAGUGUCUUCAGCCCCGGCUCCCCGAGGGUGCCGAAAGAGUCGAGAAACCAAGAUUCUCCGAAGAAUGUGCCUGUGCCAAGUGUACUCAUACCAGGACGAAACAAUGUGACGUCCCACACCACUGCUGUAGAAAUGAGCAUGAACAAAUGUGGCUGGUUUUUCGCUUAGCGAAAACAUCAGGCAGUGUCGUGAAAUGUGAUUGUUUAGCGCUCUCAGGCACCGUGUGGAUUAGACUGCGCCAUCCCAACGUGCUUCCCUACGAUUCCUUCUUCAAUGAGUGACGAGUACAGACGAAGUUCAAGCAGCGCCCACUUUCUCCAUCAAGUUUGUGUCUCCUGUAAGAAAACAUCGUAUGUGCUCAGAUCGUCGUGAUCGCUGUUCUUAUUUUUGUUUCCCUGAAAAGAACAAGGUGGACUUGAAUCCCUUGGAACUUUCCGCACAAGCAGAAGCCUACAACGGGAUUGUUCAGCAUGGGACUGAAGGCAGCGCGUAAGUGUGUCACUACUCCCCCAAUUUAAGCCUCCGAGUAAAAGCUGUUAACCAUGGUUACCUGACCAUGUGGAAGAGUCGCCGAGACGUAAUCAACCUGUCGUUGCCACGUGAACUGCAGCGCUCACCUGUUCGAGUGCAACCCAGAUCUUCGGUGUUAUUCGAGUACUCCCAGCAAGUGCCGCAUCGUGACACACCUAACACGAUGUCUCUCGAGUGCUUUACCUCGUGCGGAAA